Non-coding RNA from Pelobates cultripes (western spadefoot toad), 816 nucleotides. The record is from the annotation of a GenBank genome assembly. Lineage: Eukaryota; Metazoa; Chordata; Amphibia; Anura; Pelobatidae.
CCAGAAACUCUUAUUCCUAGUCUGUGUCUAACAAACUCAGGGAAAUCAUAAAACAACUUAUAACAACGUAUUCAAUAGAAACCUAUUCUCCCUAGCCCAUACCUUUUAUAGACUUAGGUCAAAUAUAAUUGUGUAUUAUACUCUUUCAAUUCAAUUCCUCUUGGAUCUCUGAACUCUUAUAUCCAAGGCAUUCUUAAUGUAUACCAUUACUUAAUAUUAAUCAAUAUAAAUUAUCCUUCCUUAGUUUUCUUCCUUAUGUUACCAUUGUUUGUUUUACUUCACCUCGAUAUAAACAAAUUACUCAUUCUUGUGAAUCUAUGAAAUACUAUUGCACUAAUCUUUGUAGUAUUAAGUGACCAUGAUCCUUAUUUUAUCAACUUCAUAUUUUAUCUACCUCUGAUACUUCUCAUUCUAUGUAUAGGUAAUAAUAUAAUAGUUCUUUUCAUAAUACUAUCCUUUCGUAAUUGUACUCCAUGUGUUAUAUAGCUAUAAGUAGUCUCUUUUGGUAUUAAUACUCAUAAAUAACUUUUCAUUGUCUGUUUUCUUCUUCGUUAAUAUUUAGGAAUAUAUAUGUAUGUUAAUGUCAAUCUUUUAUUUCUUUGUAAGUCUGUUAAUCUUCUGUAUCGAAUGAACUCUGUAGAAUCUUCCAUCACAGUUUGCAGAUGAGAUGAAAAGUCUCUUUCCAACAGUCGAUGUCCAGUUGUCUGAAGGAAAGCUUUCCUGAUUUAUUGCCACAUGGAUCUGUCACGCUUUACCUACAUUAAAACAAAAAACAUGUGCAGCAUCAAUACAAUGGCUUACAAUGUUUAUAUUUCA